Molecule: small nuclear RNA, 108 nt
Filed under: Vicugna pacos (alpaca)
Lineage: Eukaryota; Metazoa; Chordata; Mammalia; Artiodactyla; Camelidae
Source: RNAcentral
AUGCUCGCUCCGGGCAAACACAAAUACUAAAAUUGGAACAAUACAGAAAAGAUCAGCACAGCCCCUGUGCAGGAUGACUUUAUGUCAAAUAAAUGAAAUAAAAUAAAU